AUGAGUUUCUUAGUCUGUAAUUUUUGUGAUUUUAUCCAGGAAAUAUAGGAGCUGUGGUGAUGAAAUUUUCCAACACAAAAGAAAAAGACAUAGAAGCAGUACGGUAAUCAAAUACUGGCUGAAGUCUCCAAAAACUCGGUUUACCAGCAAAGAGAAAUCUAAAAAUGUUCAAACACCGGAUCCUGGAGGAAAUUCUGAAUGCUACAAAAAUUGAGAUUGAAUUGAGGUGCAGUAACAUAAACCAGUAUGUAGCUCAAAAAAUUGCUACUUUAAACAGGAAGAGAUUGAAGUAUUC
Nilaparvata lugens (brown planthopper) is the source of this 295-nucleotide long non-coding RNA. RefSeq lists it as uncharacterized. The record is from RefSeq and is a predicted model, not a curated record. NCBI's taxonomy places the organism in Eukaryota, Metazoa, Arthropoda, Insecta, Hemiptera, Delphacidae. The transcript has 3 exons.